ACGGUCCUAAGGUAGCGAAAUUCCUUGUCAGGUAAGUUCUGACCCGCACGAAAGGUGUAACGAUCUGGGCACUGUCUCAACAACCCGCCCGGCGAAAUUGUAGUACCGGUGAAGAUGCCGGUUACCCGCGACUAGACGGAAAGACCCCAUGGAGCUUUACUGUAGCCUAAUAUUGGAUUUCGGUAUUUCACGUACAGGAUAGGUGGGAGACUGGGAAGCACAGGCGUCAGCUUGUGUGGAGUCGACCUUGGGAUACCACUCUUGGAGUGCUGGAAUUCUAACCUGCGGCUUUGAAGCAAGUCGGGGGACAUUGUUAGGUGGGCAGUUUGACUGGGGCGGUCGCCUCCUAAAGAGUAACGGAGGCGUUCAAAGGUUCGCUCAGCUUGAACGGAAAUCAAGCAAAAGAGUGCAAACGCAGAAGCGAGCCUAACUGCGAGACUGACGGGUCGAGCAGUAACGAAAGUUGGAGUUAGUGAUCCGGCGGUAUGUGAAUGGAAAUGCCGUCGCUCAACGGAUAAAAGCUACCCUGGGGAUAACAGGCUGAUCUCCCCCAAGAGUCCACAUCGACGGGGAGGUUUGGCACCUCGAUGUCGGCUCAUCGCAUCCUGGGGCUGAAUUCGGUCCCAAGGGUUUGGCUGUUCGCCAAUUAAAGCGGUACGCGAGCUGGGUUCAGAACGUCGUGAGACAGUUCGGUCCCUAUCUGUCGUGGGCGUAGGAUAUUUGCAAGGAGCUGUCCCUAGUACGAGAGGACCGGGAUGGACGCACCUCUGGUGCACCAGUUGUCACGCCAGUGGCACAGCUGGGCAGCUAUGUGCGGAACGGAUAAACGCUGAAAGCAUCUAAGCGUGAAGCCGCCCUUAAGAUAAGAUCUCCUUUAAGACCCCUUGUAGACUACGAGGUUGAUAGGUCUGAUGUGUAAGCACGGUGACGUGUUUAGCUUGCAGAUACUAAUCGGUCGUUCGCUUUUCCUU
This 971-nucleotide ribosomal RNA is filed under the name human gut metagenome. RNAcentral's name for it is "bacterial LSU rRNA". It matches the Rfam family "Bacterial large subunit ribosomal RNA", at positions 1945 to 2925 of the family's 2925-position model. The record is from RNAcentral.